CGCUCGUAGCUCAGCUGGAUAGAGUACCUGGCUACGAACCAGGCGGUCAGAGGUUCGAAUCCUCUCCGAGUCG
This 73-nucleotide transfer RNA is filed under the name Vibrio cholerae. RNAcentral's name for it is "tRNA-Arg". The stretch from base 6 to 66 matches the Rfam family "tRNA", at positions 7 to 64 of the family's 71-position model. From Rfam's summary of the family: Transfer RNA (tRNA) molecules are approximately 80 nucleotides in length. Their secondary structure includes four short double-helical elements and three loops (D, anti-codon, and T loops). Lineage: Bacteria; Pseudomonadati; Pseudomonadota; Gammaproteobacteria; Vibrionales; Vibrionaceae. The record is from RNAcentral.